This 443-nucleotide ribosomal RNA is filed under the name uncultured bacterium. RNAcentral's name for it is "partial 16S ribosomal RNA". It matches the Rfam family "Bacterial small subunit ribosomal RNA", at positions 338 to 795 of the family's 1533-position model. The record is from RNAcentral.
CCUACGGGAGGCAGCAGUGGGGGAUAUUGGACAAUGGGGGGAACCCUGAUCCAGCGAAGCCGCGUGAGUGAAGAAUUAUUUCGGUGUGUAAAGCUCUGUCAGCAGGGGAGAAAGAAAUGACGGUACCUGACCAAGAAGCCCCGGCUAAAUACGUGCCAGCGACCGGGGUAAUACGGAGGGGGGAAGCGUUAUCCGGAAUUACUGGGUGUAAAGGGAGCGUAGAGGGUUAAGUCAGUCUGGAGGGAAAGGCCGGGGGCCAACCCCGGGACUGCUCUGGAAACUAUUGAACUUGAGUGCAGGAGAGGUAAGCGGAAGUCCUAGUGUAGCGGUGAAAUGCGUAGAUAUUAGGAGGAACACCAGUGGCGAAGGCGGCUUACUGGACUGUAACUGACGUUGAGGCUCGAAAGCGUGGGGAGCAAACAGGAUUAGAUACCCGAGUAGUC